CUUAGAGUUUGAUCCUGGCUCAGGAUGAACGCUAGCGGCGUGUUUAAGGCAUGCAAGUCGAACGAACUUUAUGUUUUGCACAAGGAAAUUUAAAUUUUAAAAUAUAAAAUUAAACCAAUUCAAUUGAUUUAAUUUUUUUAUUUUAAAAAAUUAUUUAGAUUUUCUCGCGCAAAAUAUAAGGUUAGUGGCAAACGGGUGAGUAACACAUUGGUAACAUACCCAAAAGAAAGGCAUAACUUCGAGAAAUCGAGGCUAAUUCCUUAUAAGGUGCGAUAAUAAUUUUAUCGCAUUAAAGAUUUAGAGCAAUCUAAAUUGCUUUUGGAGUGGCCUAUGGCUCAUUAGCCUGUUGGUAAGGUAAUGGCUUACCAAAGCUAUGAUGAGUAACGGGUGUGAGAGCAUGACCCGUCUCACUGGGACUGAGACACUGCCCAGACUCCUACGGGAGGCUGCAGUCAAGAAUAUUUCGCAAUGCCCGAAAGGGUGACGAAGCGACGCCGCGUGAUCGAUGAAGCCCCUCGGGGUGUAAAGAUCUUUUAUAGAGGAACAAGCUACCGUACCUCACUGUGUUUGGUACGGAAUUUUAAAUUUUAAAUUUUAAAUUUUAAAUUAAUUUUUAAUGACUUAAUUUUUAAACAAAACAAAAAAAUGUUUAGAAAUUUUGAAAUUAGAAAUUUAUUGGAAAUUGGAAAUUAAAAAUUGGAAAUUCCGCCCGAACGUAGCGAGGUGCGGUGGUUGAGGGUACUUUGUGAAUAAGUCACUGCUAAUCACGUGCCAGCAGCAGCGGUAAUACGUGAGUGACAAGCGUUAUCCGGAAUCAUUGGGCGUAAAGCGUCCGCAGACGUUUUAUUAGGUUUUUGGUUAAAUCUUGAUGCUUAACAUCAAAACCGCCAAAAAAACCAAUAGAAUAGAGGUUGGGAGAGGUAAGCGGAAUAGCCGGUGUAGUAGUUAAAUGCGUUAAUAUCGGCUAGAACACCAAUAGCGAAGGCAGCUUACUAGAACAAUUCUGACGUUCAAGGACUAAAGCGUGGGUAGCGAAUGGGAUUAGAUACCCCAGUAGUCCACGCCGUAAACGAUGGAUACUAGACAUUGGAAGUAUCGACCCUUUCAGUGUCGCUAUAUUUAAGAUAACUCCUUAAGUAUCCCGCCUGGAGAGUACGAUCGCAAGAUUAAAACUCAAAGGAAUUGACGGGGAUCCGCACAAGCGGUGGAGCAUGUGGUUUAAUUCGACGAUACGCGAAAAACCUUACCAAGGUUUGACAUCCCUCGAAUCCCGGAGAAACUCGGGAGUGCUUGCAAAAGAGCGAGGAGACAGGUGCUGCAUGGUUGUCGUCAGCUCGUGCCUUGAGGUGUACGGUUAAGUCCGGUAACGAGCGCAACCCUUAUAAUGUGUUAUAUUUUCACAUUAAACUGCCCCCGCCCAAGUUUUUGAUAUAUUUUUAUCAAAAAUUUAGGCGGGGGAGGAAGGUGGGGAUGACGUCAAAUCAGCAUGGCUCUUACGCCUUGGGCCACACACGUGCUACAAUGGCCAAUACAAAAAGUCGCAAUACCGUAAGGUGGAGCAAAUCUUAUAAAAUUGGCCUCAGUUCGGAUUGAGGGCUGAAAUUCGCCCUCAUGAAGUUGGAAUCGCUAGUAAAUGUUGGUCAGCAUACAACAUUGAAUACGUUCUCGGAUCUUGUACACACCGCCCGUCACGCCAAGAGAGUUGGCAAUAUUUGAACCCCGAUGUUAUGUCGGGGGAGAGUAAGGCCAAUAAUAAGGGUGAAGUCGUAACAAGGCAUCCGUAGCGGAAGCUGUGGAUGGAUCACCUCCUUUC
RNAcentral lists this ribosomal RNA (1813 nucleotides) under Candidatus Kuenenbacteria bacterium HGW-Kuenenbacteria-1. Its description in RNAcentral is "bacterial SSU rRNA". It matches the Rfam family "Bacterial small subunit ribosomal RNA". The record is from RNAcentral. Lineage: Bacteria; Candidatus Kueneniibacteriota.